This 253-nucleotide ribosomal RNA is filed under the name uncultured Chlorobiota bacterium. RNAcentral describes it as "uncultured Chlorobi bacterium partial 16S ribosomal RNA". It matches the Rfam family "Bacterial small subunit ribosomal RNA", at positions 524 to 776 of the family's 1533-position model. Lineage: Bacteria; Pseudomonadati; Chlorobiota. The record is from RNAcentral.
UACGUAGGAUCCGAGCGUUGUCCGGAAUUACUGGGUAUAAAGGGUGCGCAGGCGGGCUUGUGCGUCAAGGGUUAAAGACCUCGGCUCAACCGAGGGAGUGCCCUUGAAACGGCAAGUCUUGAGUGUGAGAGAGGAUGGUAGAAUUCCUGGUGUAGCGGUGAAAUGCGUAGAUAUCAGGAGGAAUACCAGUAGCGAAGGCGGCCAUCUGGCUCAUUACUGACGCUCAUGCACGAAAGCGUGGGGAGCAAACAGG